UAAACAUAACCAGGAGCUCUUACUCCAUCUC
RNAcentral lists this non-coding RNA (31 nucleotides) under Mus musculus (house mouse). Lineage: Eukaryota; Metazoa; Chordata; Mammalia; Rodentia; Muridae. The record is from RNAcentral.